UACGUAGGGUGCGAGCGUUGUCCGGAAUUAUUGGGCGUAAAGGGCUCGUAGGCGGUCUGUCACGUCGGGAGUGAAAACACGGGGCUUAACCCCGUGCCUGCUUCCGAUACGGGCAGACUAGAGGUAUGCAGGGGAGAACGGAAUUCCUGGUGUAGCGGUGAAAUGCGCAGAUAUCGGGAGGAACACCGGUGGCGAAGGCGGUUCUCUGGGCCUGUACUGACGCUGAGGAGCGAAAGCGUGGGGAGCGAACAGG
This 253-nucleotide ribosomal RNA is filed under the name uncultured bacterium. RNAcentral's name for it is "partial 16S ribosomal RNA". It matches the Rfam family "Bacterial small subunit ribosomal RNA", at positions 524 to 776 of the family's 1533-position model. The record is from RNAcentral.